Molecule: ribosomal RNA, 253 nt
Filed under: uncultured bacterium
Lineage: Bacteria
Description: partial 16S ribosomal RNA
Rfam family: Bacterial small subunit ribosomal RNA
Source: RNAcentral
UCCGUAGGAUGCAAGCGUUGUCCGGAUUUAUUGGGUUUAAAGGGUGCGUAGGCGGCCUAUUAAGUUAGUGGUGAAAGCGUUCGGCUUAACCGGAUACCCGCCAUUGAUACUGAUAGACUUGAGUGCGACAGAGGGUGUUGGAAUGUGUGGUGUAGCGGUGAAAUGCUUAGAUAUCACGCAGAACACCAAUUGCGAAGGCAGAUGCCUAUGUCGUAACUGACGCUGAGGCACGCAAGCGUGGGGAGCAAACAGG